AGUGAACGCUGGCGGUAGGCCUAACACAUGCCAGUCGAACGGCAGCACAGUAAGAGCUUGCUCUUACGGGUGGCGAGUGGCGGACGGGUGAGGAAUACAUCGGAAUCUACUUUUUCGUGGGGGAUAACGUAGGGAAACUUACGCUAAUACCGCAUACGACCUACGGGUGAAAGCAGGGGAUCUUCGGACCUUGCGCGAUUGAAUGAGCCGAUGUCGGAUUAGCUAGUUGGCGGGGUAAAGGCCCACCAAGGCGACGAUCCGUAGCUGGUCUGAGAGGAGGAUCAGCCACAGUGGAGCUGAGACACGGUCCAGACUCUUACGGGAGGCAGAAGUGGGGAAUAUUGGACAAUGGGCGCAAGCCUGAUCCAGCCAUACCGCGUGGGUGAAGAAGGCCCUCGGGUGGUAAAGCCCUUUUGUUGGGAAAGAAAAGCAGCAGGUUAAGACCCCGCUGUUCGGACGGUACCCAAAGAAUAAGCACCGGCAAACUUCGG
RNAcentral lists this ribosomal RNA (491 nucleotides) under uncultured bacterium. RNAcentral's name for it is "partial 16S ribosomal RNA". It matches the Rfam family "Bacterial small subunit ribosomal RNA", at positions 29 to 506 of the family's 1533-position model. The record is from RNAcentral.